CCACAUUUUACUCAACUCUCUCUUUCUUAUUAUCUUGCAACACAAAUGAGUUCAUACAUAUUUAGAUAUACAUUUACAAACAUCGAUUGAUAAUUAUUGUACAAUCAUAUUAAGAGCAUCCUGCUGGAUUCCGAAAGUUCUCAUCCCACGUCGUUGAGCUACUCCCACGCCCCUGAUUUGUUUGUUCUAGACCGUCCAAGUGUCUUAGCGUGUAGGACCUUCGCUCACGUGUGCGCAGGUGGGUCCGGCAUCUGUUGGCAACACUUUUUGGAGUCAACAGAUACAAAGGAUAUGCAUUCUUGACAUGUUUAUGUGCUUGUAAUUUUGGCAACCACAAUUCUUCAUAUGCAUUCUCUGUUAAUUUAGUGUGCAGGCAAAAGCAUGGCCAUGGAUACUAGCUUCUCUAAGCACCCUCAAGGAAAGAUCAAAAGAUAAGUCUGCAAAAGCCGUGACAGCAAGGUCUCCUCCAAUAAAAUCCACUCCAGUAAAUGUAUCAGAGUUUUCAUUAUUAGAGUUUCUUCUUUCUUGCCUUCUAGGCUCAGCAGGGCCUAGUCCCCUUGCCUUGAAACCUAAAAUUGAUGUGGGGCCCCUUAAGGUGCCAACUGGAGAAGCAAGUUCCCAAUUAAAAUCUUGUUAACCCACCUAAGAAGCAAAUUCCCAAUUUUUAACAGAAUAAACAUAACAGUUUCACGUCCAUUCUUUUUACAACCUUCCACUAAAUAUAGCAGUGAACCUAGCUAAUUGGUAGCGUGCCUAUCAUAAAAGUUUAAAAUCAUAAGGGGGAAAAUUUAACG
Molecule: long non-coding RNA, 794 nt
Filed under: Olea europaea subsp. europaea
Lineage: Eukaryota; Viridiplantae; Streptophyta; Magnoliopsida; Lamiales; Oleaceae
Source: RNAcentral